UACGUAGGGUGCAAGCGUUGUCCGGAAUUAUUGGGCGUAAAGAGCUCGUAGGCGGUCUGUCGCGUCUGCUGUGAAAACUCGGGGCUUAACCCCGGGCCUGCAGUGGGUACGGGCAGACUAGAGUGCGGUAGGGGAGACUGGAAUUCCUGGUGUAGCGGUGAAAUGCGCAGAUAUCAGGAGGAACACCGGUGGCGAAGGCGGUUCUCUGGGCCUUACCUGACGCUGAGGAGCGAAGGCGUGGGGAGCGAACGGG
RNAcentral lists this ribosomal RNA (253 nucleotides) under uncultured bacterium. RNAcentral's name for it is "partial 16S ribosomal RNA". It matches the Rfam family "Bacterial small subunit ribosomal RNA", at positions 524 to 776 of the family's 1533-position model. The record is from RNAcentral.